This 433-nucleotide ribosomal RNA is filed under the name uncultured bacterium. RNAcentral describes it as "partial 16S ribosomal RNA". It matches the Rfam family "Bacterial small subunit ribosomal RNA", at positions 29 to 507 of the family's 1533-position model. The record is from RNAcentral.
AACGAACGCUGGCGGCAUGCCUAACACAUGCAAGUCGAACGAGACCUUCGGGUCUAGUUGCGCACGGGUGCGUAACGCGUGGGAACCUGCCCUUAGGUUCGGAAUAACUCCCCGAAAGGGGUGCUAAUACCGGAUAAUGUCUUCGGACCAAAGAUUUAUCGCCUUUGGAUGGGCCCGCGUUGGAUUAGCUAGUUGGUAGGGUAAAAGCCUACCAAGGCGACGAUCCAUAGCUGGUCUGAGAGGAUGAUCAGCCACACUGGGACUGAGACACGGCCCAGACUCCUACGGGAGGCAGCAGUGGGGAAUAUUGGAAAAUGGGCGAAAGCCUGAUAAAGCAAUGCCGCGUGAGUGAUGAAGGCCUUAGGGUUGUAAAGCUCUUUUACCCGGGAUGAUAAUGACAGUACCGGGAGAAUAAGCUCCGGCUAACUCCGUG